RNAcentral lists this ribosomal RNA (434 nucleotides) under uncultured bacterium. RNAcentral's name for it is "partial 16S ribosomal RNA". It matches the Rfam family "Bacterial small subunit ribosomal RNA", at positions 29 to 507 of the family's 1533-position model. The record is from RNAcentral.
AGCGAACGCUGGCGGCAGGCCUAACACAUGCAAGUCGAACGAACCUUUCGGGGUUAGUGGCGGACGGGUGAGUAACACGUGGGAACGUGCCUUUAGGUUCGGAAUAACUCAGGGAAACUUGUGCUAAUAACGAAUGUGCCCUUCGGGGGAAAGAUUUAUCGCCUUUAGAGCGGCCCGCGUCUGAUUAGCUAGUUGGUUGAGGUAAUGGCUCACCAAGGCGACGAUCAGUAGCUGGUCUGAGAGGAUGAUCAGCCACAUUGGGACUGAGACACGGCCCAAACUCCUACGGGAGGCAGCAGUGGGGAAUCUUGCGCAAUGGGCGAAAGCCUGACGCAGCCAUGCCGCGUGAAUGAUGAAGGUCUUAGGAUUGUAAAAUUCUUUCACCGGGGACGAUAAUGACGGUACCCGGAGAAGAAGCCCCGGCUAACUUCGUG